Molecule: non-coding RNA, 78 nt
Organism: PVC group bacterium
Lineage: Bacteria; Pseudomonadati
Source: Rfam
GCUCUUGUUGUGGAAUGGUAAACACGGUAAUCUCAAAAUUUAUUUUAAAAAUUGUUGGUUCGAAUCCAACCUGGAGUA